This 686-nucleotide ribosomal RNA is filed under the name uncultured prokaryote. RNAcentral's name for it is "bacterial SSU rRNA". It matches the Rfam family "Bacterial small subunit ribosomal RNA", at positions 28 to 732 of the family's 1533-position model. The record is from RNAcentral.
GAUGAACGCUGACAGAAUGCUUAACACAUGCAAGCCGAUUCGAUUUACCUUCGGGUACUGAGGAUGGCGGACGGGUGAGUAACGCGUAAGGAACUUGCCUCUUGGUCUGGGACAACCGUUGGAAACGACAGCUAAUACCGGAUAUUAUGAGAUUCUCGCAUGGGAAACUUAUGAAAGCUAUAUGCGCCAAGAGAGAGCCUUGCGUUCCAUUAGCUAGUUGGUGGGGUAACGGCCCACCAAGGCGACGAUGGAUAGCCGGCCUGAGAGGGUGAACGGCCACAAGGGGACUGAGACACGGCCCUUACUCCUACGGGAGGCAGCAGUGGGGAAUAUUGGACAAUGGGCCACAAGCCUGAUCCAGCAAUUCUGUGUGCACGAUGAAGGUCUUCGGAUUGUAAAGUGCUUUCAGUUGGGAAGAAGAAAGUGACGGUACCAACAGAAGAAGCGACGGCUAAAUACGUGCCAGCAGCCGCGGUAAUACGUAUGUCGCAAGCGUUAUCCGGAUUUAUUGGGCGUAAAGCGCGUCUAGGCGGAAAAAUAAGUCUGAUGUUAAAAUGCGGGGCUCAACUCCGUAUUGCGUUGGAGACUGUUUUUCUAGAGUACUGGAGAGGUGGGCGGAACUACAAGUGUAGAGGUGAAAUUCGUAGAUAUUUGUAGGAAUGCCGAUGGAGAANUCAGCUCACUGG